GACGAACGCUGGCGGCGUGCUUAACACAUGCAAGUCGAACGGAGAUUAAGGAAUUAGUUUACUAAUACUUUAAUCUUAGUGGCGGACGGGUGAGUAACGCGUGGGCAACCUGCCCCUGAGCCCGGGAUAACAGUUCGAAAGGACUGCUAAGACCGGAUAUACUUGCGGUGAAGCAUUUCACUGCAAGGAAAGGGAACGCUCAGGGAUGGGCCCGCGUCCCAUUAGCUAGUUGGUGAGGUAACGGCCCACCAAGGCGACGAUGGGUAGCCGGCCUGAGAGGGUGAACGGCCACACUGGGACUGAGACACGGCCCAGACUCCUACGGGAGGCAGCAGUUGGGAAUCUUCGGCAAUGGGCGCAAGCCUGACCGAGCAACGCCGCGUGAGUGAUGAAGGUUUUCGGAUUGUAAAGCUCUGUCUUCCGGGACGAUAAUGACGGUACCGGAGGAGGAAGCCACGGCUAACUACGUG
RNAcentral lists this ribosomal RNA (470 nucleotides) under uncultured bacterium. RNAcentral describes it as "bacterial SSU rRNA". It matches the Rfam family "Bacterial small subunit ribosomal RNA", at positions 28 to 507 of the family's 1533-position model. The record is from RNAcentral.